CCUACGGGUGGCAGCAGUCGAGAAUCAUUCACAAUGGGGGAAACCCUGAUGGUGCGACGCCGCGUGGGGGAAUGAAGGUCUUCGGAUUGUAAACCCCUGUCAUGUGGGAGCAAAUUAAAAAGAUAGUACCACAAGAGGAAGAGACGGCUAACUCUGUGUCAGCAGCCGCGGUAAUACAGAGGUCUCAAGCGUUGUUCGGAAUCACUGGGCGUAAGGCGUGCGUAGGCUGUUUCGUAAGUCGUGUGUGAAAGGCGCGGGCUCAACCCGCGGACGGCACAUGAUACUGCGAGACUAGAGUAAUGGAGGGGGAACCGGAAUUCUCGGUGUAGCAGUGAAAUGCGUAGAUAUCGAGAGGAACACUCGUGGCGAAGGCGGGUUCCUGGACAUUAACUGACGCUGAGGCACGAAGGCCAGGGGAGCGAAAGGGAUUAGAUACCCGAGUAGUC
RNAcentral lists this ribosomal RNA (446 nucleotides) under uncultured bacterium. RNAcentral's name for it is "partial 16S ribosomal RNA". It matches the Rfam family "Bacterial small subunit ribosomal RNA", at positions 338 to 795 of the family's 1533-position model. The record is from RNAcentral.